GGCCUGCUGGCUCAAUGGUAGAGCGUCUGACUACGAAUCAGGAGGUUCCAGGUUCGAGACCUGGGUGGGUCG
Lasiosphaeria ovina is the source of this 72-nucleotide non-coding RNA. The record is from the annotation of a GenBank genome assembly. Lineage: Eukaryota; Fungi; Ascomycota; Sordariomycetes; Sordariales; Lasiosphaeriaceae.